UUCAAUAGCUAACAAACUCAAAUGAUGGUUAACAGAGAUAUUAGGGGUUUGUUUAAGAACAUGAAAAUAUAAAUAACGCAGAUAAAGUAAUUGGAUUCACCAAGGUAGAUAGUUUUGCUGGGAUUAGAGUUUCGUUGUUUGACCUCUACGUAUUCUAUUGAUUCACAUACAAAUAUCGUUCUAUGCAAUUGAUUCCUCCCACCAUUUCUUAUCUUACUACCCAGUCCCCCGGUGUAGAAGAUUAUCA
Molecule: long non-coding RNA, 247 nt
Filed under: Lotus japonicus
Lineage: Eukaryota; Viridiplantae; Streptophyta; Magnoliopsida; Fabales; Fabaceae
Description: long non-coding RNA (LJAP_LNC001146)
Source: RNAcentral